UGCGCAGGCGGCCGGGUGUGUGAGGCGUGAAAGCCUGGAGCUCAACUCCAGAAUUGCACCUCAAACUACACGGCUAGAGCAUUGGAGAGGGUAGCAGAAUUCACGGUGUAGCAGUGAAGUGCGUAGAUAUCGUGAGGAAUACCAGAGGCGAAGGCGGCUACCUGGACAAUUGCUGACGCUCAGGCACGAAAGCGUGGGGAGCAAAAGGGAUUAGAUACCCCUGUAGUCCACGCCCUAAACGGUGCAAACUAGGUCUUGGCGGAUUCGACCCCAUCAGGGCCCAAGCUAACGCGUUAAGUUUGCCGCCUGAGGACUACGGCCGCAAGGCUAAA
Molecule: ribosomal RNA, 332 nt
Filed under: uncultured bacterium
Lineage: Bacteria
Description: bacterial SSU rRNA
Rfam family: Bacterial small subunit ribosomal RNA
Source: RNAcentral